GUAGGUGGCAAGCGUUGUCCGGAAUUAUUGGGCGUAAAGCGCGCGCAGGCGGUUCUUUAAGUCUGAUGUGAAAGCCCACGGGCUCAACCGUGGAGGGUCAUUGGAAACUGGGGAACUUGAGUACAGAAGAGGAAAGCGGAAUUCCACGUGUAGCGGUGAAAUGCGUAGAGAUGUGGAGGAACACCAGUGGCGAAGGCGGCUUUCUGGUCUGUAACUGACGCUGAGGCGCGAAAGCGUGGGGAGCAAACAGGAUUAGAUACCCUGGUAGUCCACGCCGUAAACGAUGUGUGCUAAGUGUUAGGGGGUUUCCGCCCCUUAGUGCUGCAGCUAACGCAUUAAGCACUCCGCCUGGGGAGUACGGCCGCAAAGGCUG
RNAcentral lists this ribosomal RNA (373 nucleotides) under uncultured organism. RNAcentral describes it as "partial 16S ribosomal RNA". It matches the Rfam family "Bacterial small subunit ribosomal RNA", at positions 527 to 896 of the family's 1533-position model. The record is from RNAcentral.